Molecule: ribosomal RNA, 492 nt
Filed under: uncultured bacterium
Lineage: Bacteria
Description: partial 16S ribosomal RNA
Rfam family: Bacterial small subunit ribosomal RNA
Source: RNAcentral
AGUGAACGCUGGCGGUAGGCCUAACACAUGCAAGUCGAACGGCAGCACAGUAAGAGCUUGCUCUUACGGGGUGCGAGUGGCGUACGGGUGAGGAAUACAUCGGGAUCUACUUUUUCGUGUGGGUUAACGUAGGUAAACUUACUCUAAUACCGCAUCCGACCUACGGGUGAAAGCAGUGGAUCUUCGGACCUUGCGCGGUUGAAUGAGCCGCUGUGGGAUUGGCUGGUUGGCGGGUUACAGGCCCACCAAGUCGACGAUCGGCAGCUGGUCUGAGAGGAUGAUCAGCGGCAUGGGAGCGUGGACACGGACCAUGGUACUACGGGAGGCCGCAGAGGGGAAUAUUGGACAGUAGGGGCAAGCAUGAUCCAGCCAUCCCGAGUGGGUGAAGAAGGCGUUCGGGUUGUAAAGCCCGUUUGCUGGGAAAGAAAAGCAGCAGGUUAAUACCCCGCUGUUCUGACGGUAACCAAAGAAUAAGCACCGGCUAACUUCGUG